Molecule: unclassified non-coding RNA, 117 nt
Organism: Macaca fascicularis (crab-eating macaque)
Lineage: Eukaryota; Metazoa; Chordata; Mammalia; Primates; Cercopithecidae
Rfam family: Metazoan signal recognition particle RNA
About the family: The signal recognition particle (SRP) is a universally conserved ribonucleoprotein. It is involved in the co-translational targeting of proteins to membranes. The eukaryotic SRP consists of a 300-nucleotide 7S RNA and six proteins: SRPs 72, 68, 54, 19, 14, and 9.
Source: Ensembl
GCUGGGCGUGGUGGCUCACGCCUGUAACCCCAGCACUUUGGGGGGCUGAGGCAGGCGGAUCACCUGAGGUCAGGAGUUCAAGACCAGCCUGACCAACAUGGUGAAACCCCGUCUCUA